UCGAUGCCCAAAUCUGAAGUCUAUAAUUAAAGAAACAGAAGAAAAAGAAGAAGAAGAAGAAGCGUCCAAUUGCAGCGGCUUAACAUCUCUUCAGCGGCUUGAGAUUACAUCUUGCGAAGAAUUGACAUAUUUACCAAAGAGGCUGUUACAACAAACCCUUGUAACAUUAGAGAUAUUCUAGUGUCUGAAUUUAAUAAUUGCUGAUCCAGAUGAAUUAUGCAACCUUCCAUCCCUUUAGAGCUUGUCGGUUGUAGGAUCUCCAAGAUUGGCGGGUUAGGGGGAGGAGAGGCUAUUUUGCCUGACCAGCCUUCAAACAUUGACGAUAGGUUUCUUCUCAGAGGAGCUCGAAUAUUUCCCCUGGCCUUCCACCACCGUAAGUGCUGUAUCUGCAUCUGCUUCCACUUCCACUCCCUCUCCCGCUACUGCUACUGCAGAGGAGGAGGUUGAUGAUGAUACCAAAUAUCAUCACCCAAAUCCCAAACACUACCCCUUCAUCUCCUUGGUAUGUCUGGAUUUAUGUGGGUGGAAAGGGGUCAAGUAUCUGCCUGAUCAACUUCAGCACCUCACUACCUUGAGACACUUGUCAAUUGAAGAUUUUGAUGGACUGGAAGCUCUGUUGGAGUGGCUGGGUAACCUUUCAUCUCUUCAUUCUUUGGAUCUUAGGUAUUGAAAGAAUCUAAUGAAUCUUCCCACCCUGGAAGCAAUGCAACGCCUCACCAAUUUACAAUCUUUGACAAUUCGUUUUUGUCCCCUUCUAAAGGAAAGAUGCACAAGGGAGAGCAGCCAAGAAUGGCACAAGAUUGCCCAUAUUCCAGACAUUUUUAUUAACGGUCAAUGGCUUCAUCAGCAGAUGACUAAUCUUCUUCUUCAAGAUGAAGCAUAAAAAAGCUUACUGCCAAUUAUGGUUUUGUACAAGGUGUUCCAAUUUUUCUUCAUGUGUAAGUGCUGGAUUUACUGCCUACCAGCGGCAAAGUCAAUUAGAGCAGGCCAUCAAUAAUUGAUGUAGGGAGAAGAGAGGUAGUUUGAGCAAGAGGCAAUUAAUCUAACGAUGAGGUUGCAACAACAGUCCACUUGGAUGCGCAAGGGAAAGCGGCCAAGAAUGUCACAAGAUUGCCCAUAUUCCAUCCAUCAAUGUCUUGUAGAUUUAAAGGUCAGGAGGCAUUUCAUGAAUGAUGAAUCUUCCUCUACAAAUGAUGAAUCUUCUUCUUCAAGAUGAAGCAUGAAAUAGUCUACUGCCAAUUAUGUUUAUUAGUCUCUCUGUGCUCCCACAAAUUGCUUUGUUACAAGGUCUCUUCUACAAGGAGGAGUUCCAGUUUUUCUUCAAGUGUAAAUGCUGGAUUUAUUGCCUGCCAGCUGUACAAUGAAUAAUAGCAGUCCAUUGAUAAUCAAUGUAGGGAGAAGAGCAGAGGUAGUUUGAGCAGGAGCCAAUUAAUCUAAGAUGAAGUUGCAACAACAGUCCACUUGGAUGAUUGAAUCAUAGGUAGUUUGAGCGGGAGGCAAUUAAUCUAAAGAUGAAGUUGCAACAACAUUCCACUUGGAGGAUUGAAUCAUAUUAUUUUACAUGUGAAGCCAAAAGACUAAUUUUGUCUGUAGUUUUGGGUCACAAAGACCAAGUGCAGCAGAAGAUUUGCAGGUAGCUUGCUGGAAAUAGGUGAUUGAGCUGGAACUCUCGCAUCAGCUGGAUCAGCGGACGCUAUUGGAAGGGCUGAGUGCUUUUGAGUUGAAAAGGAAAGCUAGCAAAGCUAAAACAAACAUGACAAAAAUAAAGUGUAGCUCAAGAUUUGCAGUGGUAUUC
Molecule: non-coding RNA, 1795 nt
Organism: Camellia sinensis
Lineage: Eukaryota; Viridiplantae; Streptophyta; Magnoliopsida; Ericales; Theaceae
Source: RefSeq, a predicted model, not a curated record